Molecule: ribosomal RNA, 262 nt
Filed under: uncultured bacterium
Lineage: Bacteria
Description: partial 16S ribosomal RNA
Rfam family: Bacterial small subunit ribosomal RNA
Source: RNAcentral
GUCCACGCCGUAAACGAUGAGCACUAGGUGUCGGAGUCGCAAGGCUUCGGUGCCGCAGUUAACGCAUUAAGUGCUCCGCCUGGGGAGUACGCACGCAAGUGUAAAACUCAAAGGAAUUGACGGGGACCCGCACAAGCAGCGGAGCAUGUGGUUUAAUUCGAAGCAACGCGAAGAACCUUACCAGAGCUUGACAUCCCUUUGACCGGUCCGUAAUGGGACUUUCUCUUCGGAGCAAAGGUGACAGGUGGUGCAUGGUUGUCGU